UCUUGUGAUAAGAGCUCCAUUAUUUCACGCGUAUAGAAACCAAAAUAAUCUGGUCCUAUUGGUCCUAAUUGACCAUGAUCUGUUGAGGCCAGCAAACUCUUCGAAGCUUCCGACAUAAUAAAGGGCCACAGCAAUGCACAUAACAACUGCAUUUCACCACAGAAAUAUGCAACACAAGAUAAGUGUAUAAGAACCAAAUGGUCGGUAGUGAGGAGAAGGAAACCACAAAAACUUCUAUUCCAUCUAAAAGCAAAGGGCAACAUUAGAUGGAAUGUAUGAAAAUUUAGACAGAAAGCUAAAAUGACUUGCAGCAUAAGUCAGAAGGACACUUCUACAUUAAACUAUUUUUUCACUGCCUGAAUAACAAAAAUGUAAGCAAGCCAAACACCAUUCCCAUAUACAAAAUUGUUUGGUAUUAAAGGAUACCAUCUCAAAGCAAGAUAAACAUGUUGUUUUCUGGAUACACUGCUUAUAAAAGAGCGAAAAUUUUGCAGGAGUUGGAAUAAGCAAAAGGCAAAACCCAUUUUAUAGAAAGUAAACCAUACUGCCUCAAAGGAAAUUUGCUCAAUUACUGCUUAUAUGAGAAAGUUUAAUAAGCAAAACGUAAAUAGUAAUUGGUUAGGAGAAAAUAAACCAAAAAAUCAAACAGCAGGUGCAGGUCUAAGAUUUGUAAUCCAAUACCGCAGAUGCAGCCAGAACUUCAAAAUCAAAGGAUCAAUCUCUUCUUGCAAAUAGUAAGUGUUAGAAGAUUUUGGAAGAUUUCCGAGGAUGUCUUGUAAUUAUGUAUAAUAUUUGGUUAUGUGCUAUUUUAGGUAGUUGAGAGAUUUGUGAACUGUACAGAUAUUUUGGGAAUCAGUUUUUAUUUUCUUUUAAUUAGGGAGAUUAGUUACUAGAUCUGUAUCGUAGAAGAUCUAUAAAUUCUUAUGCACAGAAGCAUAAUAAAAUAUGCCCUAUUUGUCAUAUUUUUGUUCUCUUCUUUAGUAAGCCACUUUACUACUUUGAUUAAACCACUUUUGGCAGUAAAAAAACUCAUGGUUUAAGUAGUACUUAUUCAAACUCUGUCUAUGAUCAAAUUAUGUUAUGGCAUUGACGAUUAGGGCAUCCUAGUUUUCUGUACCUCAAACAUUUGUUUCCUAAAUUGUUUAAAGGAAUUGAUUGUUCAAAACUUCAUUGUGAGGCCUGUCACUUGGCUAAAGAUCAUUGUGUUUCUUUUCCAAUAAAACCCAAUUUUGCUUCGAAACCAUUUUAUUUGAUUCAUAGCAAUGCUUAGGGCCCAUCUAAGGUUAACACACUUUCUGGCAAAGAAUGGUUUGUGACUUUUAUUGAUAACCACACAAGGGUAUGUUGGGUUUACUUAUUAUAAAGGAAAUCAGAGGUUGAAAAGAGAUUUAAAGAUUUUUUCCUGAUGAUUGAUAAUCAAUUUCAAACCAAAAUUAGCAUUCUGAGAUCGGAUAAUGCGACAGAAUAUUUUAACAAAUAUUUUUGAAUAUUUUUGACCGAAAAAGGUGUGAUCCAUCAAUCAACUUGUCACAACACACCUCAACAGAAUGGAAUUGUUGAAAGAAAAAAUAGAUAUCUUCUUGAGAUAACUAGAGCCAUCAUGUUUUCUAUGAAUGUACCUAAAUAUCUCUGGGGAAAUGCUCUCCUAACUGCUUGUUACUUGAUAAAUAGAAUGCCAUCUCGAGUUUUAAAAUAUGAAACACCUUUACAGGUUUUAAAAAAUUGUUUUCCCACAUCUCGAAUAACUAUGAAUAUUCCUUUCAAAGUGUUUGGUUGUGUUUGUUAUGUGUAUAUAUGAAAUGUUUUUCGAUCAACAUUGGAUCCAAAAACUGAAAAAUAUGUGUUUCUUAGUUAUGCAUCUAAUAAAAAAAUAGAUAUCUUCACCUAAAUGACCUUAAUGCUUCAAUCCUAUUACAAAGAAAUUUUUUGAGAGUAUGAAUGUAUACUUUGUUGAGGACCAACCCUUCUUUCAAAAAAAUUCUCUUCAGGGGGAGAACAUAAGCGAAGAAGAUAAUUUUUGGGACACUUUACCUAUUUUAGAAGAAUCUAUACCUGUGAUUAAUUCUGAUAAACAAGUUUCGGAAACCAUUGUUGAAAGAGAUAGUACUCUUAAACUAAAUUUGCCAGAUAUUACUUUAUCAGAGACAGGGGGAGAAGUACUUCAAAGAGAUCACAAUCCUCAUCUUGAGCUUCAGGUUUAUACUAGGAAGAGGUUUCACAAAUGUACUACUAUCCCAAUUGUUUCUCUAGUAGAAGCCUAAUCCAAUUUGCCGAGUGAAGGUCCUACAACUCAGAGUAAUCCUUCUUCUAUUCCUAUUUCUUCUCUAUCUAAUGAUUUGCCUAACAUUUCCUCUUUAGAUCUUGACCUUCCAUUUGCGGUAAGAAAAGGUACCCAAGUUUGCACAAAACACCCUAUUGCAAAAUACUUGUCAUAUAAAAAAUUAUCACAUACUCACAAAGCAUUUGCAUCUAGGAUUUCUAAUUUGUGUGUGCCAAGAAUUGUUCAAGAAGCAUUAGAUGACCCGAAUUGGAGAUUAGCUAUAAUGGAAGAGAUGAUUGCUCCUAAAAAAAAAAAAAUGAGUGUUUACAGUGAAGUGCAAAGCUGACGGAAGUGUGGAGAGAUAUAAAGCGAGACUCAUAGAAAAAGGAUUUACCCAAACUCCUGGUAUAGACUACUAAGAGACUUUUGCUCUUGCAGGUAAGAUUAACUCUAUUAGAAUACUUCUUUCUCUUAUAGUUAAUUUCAAUUGGCCACUACAUCAAUUCGAUGUAAAAAAUGCCUUCUUAAAUGGAGAUCUACAAGAAGAAGUAUAAAUAGACCUGCCACCCGGACUGAAAGAAAGUCUUGGAAGAGACAAAGUUUGCAGGUUAAGAAAAUCCCUAUAUGGGCUAAAGCAAUCACCAAGAGCUUGGUUUGAACGAUUUGGGAAUGUUGUAAGGAGGCAUGGCUUCUUACAAAGUCAAGCUGAUCAUACUUUGUUUUUUAAGCACUCCACCAAAGGUAAAAUAACUAUUCUGAUAGUGUAUAUUGACGAAAUUAUCAUGACUAGGGAUGAUUUGUUUGAGAUCAACAAAUUAAAGAAUAAGCUUGAGGCCAAGUUUGACAUUAAGGACUUGGGAAAACUUAGGUAUUUCCUCGGGAUGGAAUUUGCAAGGUCCAAGGAGGGAAUCUUUAUCAACCAACGCAAAUACAUUCUUGAUUUGCUUAAGGAAACAGGGAUGACAAGUUGUAAAGCUGCAGAAACUCCAACGAACCCAAAUGUAAAGCUAAAAGCAGCAAGAGCAAGUGAGGUGGUGGACGAGAACAUUAUCAAAGAUUAGUUGGAAGGCUAAUCUAUUUGUCACACACAAGACCUGAUAUAGCCUUUGCAGUAAGUGUGGUGAGUCAGUUUAUGCAUUCACCUAGACCUACUCAAUUUGAAGCUGCGUUCAAGAUUUUAAGAUGUCUAAAAGGAACUUUAAGGAAAGGACUCUUGUUAAAAAAUAGGGUCAUCUCCAAGUCAAAGCCUACACAGACGCAGAUUGGGCAGGCGACGUAACUAAUAGAAGAUCUACCUCAGGUUAUUGCACUUUGGUAGGAGGGAAUUUAGUCACCUGGAAGAGCAAAAAGCAGAGUGUUGUGGCUAGCUGUAGUGCAAAAGCAGAAUUCCGCUCUGUUGCACAUGGCUUCUGUGAAGUGUUAUGGAUCAAGAGACUCCUAGAAGAGUUGAAAUUCCUACAGUGUUAUGGAUCAAGAGACUCCUAGAAGAGUUGAAAUUCCUACACCAACACCUAUUAAGGUCUAUUGUGAUUACAAGGCAAGUAUUUCCAUAGCUCACAAUCCAAUUCUACACGACAGAACAAAGCAUGUAGAAGUGGAAAAACAUUUCAUCAAGGAGAAGAUAGACAGUGGUGUGAUAUGCAUGUCCUACAUAUCUACCGCGAGCCAAGUAGCAAACAUACUCACACAAGGACUUCUUAGGGCGCAAUAUGAGAACUUAGUUAGUAAGCUUGCCAUGAGUGAUAUAUUCAUGCUAGCUUGAGGGGGAGUGUUGGAAGAUUUUGGAAGAUUUCCUAGGAUUUCUUUUAAUAAUGUAUAAUAUUUGUUUAUGUGCUAUUUUAGGUAGUUGAGAGAUUUGUGAACUGUACAGAUUUUUGGGAAUCAGUUUUUAUUUUUUUUUUAAUUAGGGAGAUUAGUUAUUCGAUUUAUAUCCUAGAAGAUCUAUAAAUUCUUAUGUACAGAAGCAUAAUAAAAUAUACCUAUUUGUCAUAUUUUUGUUUUCUUCUUUAGUAAGCAUGAGAUUAUGACUGACCACGGAAGGAACAUAUUCUUCCAGACUUCUAGCAUGAAAGGGAUCUUUUCUCAAAGCUUCUAAUUUGAGAAUAGUAUCAAAAAUUAUGAUACAAAGUACAUAAUAUCAAGUUGGUUGAAACAAAUUAUUACUAAGCAUAACAUAACUAAGAAGGUACAAAAUUUUCAACUUCAAAUCUGGCAAACUUUACAACAAGACAACAGCAAAUUGUUGAUCAACAUAAAUAGACCAAAAAAUAUAAAAAAAAUUAAACAGACUGCUAUUUCAAGUGAGACCUUAUGAAAACUUAAAACAUAAGAUAGGGACCUUUAGAAAUUUUGAGAAAAAUUGAUGACAACUUAUUCUUAUACCCCUCUAGAUGGCAUGAUAUUUCCUUUUAGGAGUUAUUUUUUUGAGUAGGAUUCUCUUUUUUGGAGUUCCUUCAAGACUUGGGAUCUUUUUAUUUUUCUUUUAGAUUUUCAUUAAGAACAAAGGAUUUGCUAUUAUCCAAACCUAGAGUUCAAAUCUAAGAUAAAACGACCAUACAAACUUUUUCAUAAGAACAGAAAAGAGGCUGAUUUCUCAUAAACUGUGACUCUGUAACCAUAGUUGGGUGAAGAAGUCCCCAUCCGUGGCAGGUGAAGGAUCUACUUCCAAAUUCCAAUCUUAGCCAAAUGGGCAAUGAAACAACAAACAUGUAAUGCCAAAUCAGAUAUCAUAUCAAUUUGUAUGAAACAAAAGUUAACAAAUCUGUAAGAGAUUUAUUAGUCUUUCAAUCUAAACCAAAGUUUUACAUGAUUUAGCAUUUAUAUAACUGUUUAGGUUUUACUCCCUACAGAAAAUGUAUAAUCUCACAACUUGAACUCAAAGCUUGUAAUAAUGCUCUCUAGUUCUUUUUCUUUUUCCCUGUUGGAAAUAUUUUUUUUGUACGAAUCAGAGAGGGUAAAUAUCUAGCCUUGUCUUCCACAUUAUCUGGUGGAAGGAAAAGAUGGAAAACCGGAUAACAUCUCACACAAUGUAGGGUCCUAAUAUUGAGGUGCACUAGCAGAAGCCAAAUAGUAGGGUACUGGAAACAGAAAAAAGGAAUAGUACAACACCUUGUCCAACGUUGAAAUAUGUUCAGUUCUUGACAACCUACUAGGUAUUGUUCUAACGGACAUCGGUCCAAAUUAACAGGCAAAUAAAAAGUGAGAAUAGAUGACGCUUUAGUCCAAAUGACUCAUAAACACAAGGUUUAGAUAAAUAGCCCCACAUGGCAAAUACAGGAUAUGAUUUUAUUAUUCAAAGCUAUAUCAAAAAUAUUAAUGAGAUUAUAAUCCUAUUUAUAGUAGACUAAUUGGAACACUAACCAAAUAACCUAAAAGCUCCUCAGAAAGCAAGAAUGGAGUUGGCAGUGAUCUAUCAAAAAAUGAAAAGUGUGAAUCGAACACCCACUCAUAUAGCUUUUACCUUACUACAAGGAUGGUGCCAUACACUGAGCUGGCUCUUAAGGGUCUGCUAAAAGUUAGGAACCCCUUUCUUCAAAAUAUGUUAGAAGGUACCACUCCUUUCAUUAGGCAUGUUCUACCAUGUCCAUUUUGUGCACAAAAUAGACAAACAACCUAUCCAGUCUCUAGGAACUCUUGCUCAGGCUUGCCCCCUCUGGACAAUCCCUUCAUUAUUCCACUCCAAUUAAUAAGCACUGAAGUUUAAUGCUAACGCAGCACCUUUACGAACUCCAUACAAGAUUAAAGGGUUUAAUUCCCAGUUUGUUUUCUGAAAACAGAGCGCUUACAAUUAACUUUCACACUAAACCCUUUACUCUAUUAGUUGCCAAGAAAAUCAAGAAAAGCCCAAGAAUGAACUCAAGAAAUGCCGUACAACUACUGAAGAACCUAAUUGUUAAUACUAACAAUUUGUUCUCUUUAGCAGCCUAAUACAACAAAUAAAUAGAACAUUCAAAAUUCAAAUUGAGUUGCGAUUUUCCUCGACUUUUUACAGUCCAUAAGUUCAUAGAAUUCAAUAACCGAAAACAAAUAAACGUAAAAGUAUUAACCCGUCAUUCAAAAAAUCAACAAGAGAGAAAGAAAUUACGUGAACGGCGACGUCACGGUGAAUCAAAGCGGCGAGUUUGCGGUGUCGUGCGUAAAAAUGUGUCACGAAAAAUACAGAUUUCAGUAUAUCUUUUUUUUUUUAA
This 6447-nucleotide long non-coding RNA is filed under the name Citrus x clementina. RNAcentral's name for it is "Citrus clementina (C. clementina) long non-coding RNA (CCLE_LNC005303)". Lineage: Eukaryota; Viridiplantae; Streptophyta; Magnoliopsida; Sapindales; Rutaceae. The record is from RNAcentral.